GGUGGAUGCCUUGGCACCAGAAGGCGAUGAAGGACGUGGCACGCUGCGAAAAAGCCGCGGGGAGAUGCGAGCGAUCGUUGAUCCGCGGAUGUCCGAAUGGGGCAACCCACCCGCGAGGGUAUCUGUCACUGAAUCCAUAGGUGGCGGAGGCGAACCCGGGGAACUGAAACAUCUCAGUACCCGGAGGAAAAGACAUCAACCGAGAUUCCGUAAGUAGUGGCGAGCGAAAGCGGAGCAGGCCAGUGGCCUGCAGGAGUGAAGCCGAACGGUCUGGAAAGUCCGGCCAUAGCGGGUGAUAGCCCCGUAGGCGUUUGGCUCCUGCAGGUCCUUGAGUAGGGCGGGACACGUGAAAUCCUGUCCGAAGAUGGGGGGACCACCCUCCAAGCCUAAAUACUCUCUGGUGACCGAUAGUGCACAAGUACCGUGAGGGAAGGUGAAAAGCACCCCGACAAGGGA
Molecule: ribosomal RNA, 456 nt
Filed under: uncultured bacterium
Lineage: Bacteria
Description: bacterial LSU rRNA
Rfam family: Bacterial large subunit ribosomal RNA
Source: RNAcentral